Homo sapiens (human) is the source of this 467-nucleotide long non-coding RNA. RefSeq lists it as uncharacterized. Lineage: Eukaryota; Metazoa; Chordata; Mammalia; Primates; Hominidae. The record is from RefSeq and is a predicted model, not a curated record. The transcript has 3 exons.
AGUUGGAUGAUUAAUGAGAUAAUGAAUGUGAGGAGAACUCCCUGGAGGAAAGACAUUUCACAAACAUGAAGUGAAGACUCUGGCUGACUCACUGAUUUCAGCAGCUCAGAGCACUUCGGAGGAGUGGUUGAAGAAAUUCUAGCACACCUACACAAUGGAGUACUAUGCUCCUGUAAAACAGAAUGAGGAAGAUCUCCAUGAGCUGAUACGGAAUGAUUUCCAGGACAUACUACUCCGUGAGACGGAAAAGCACAAAAGGGAAUAAUGUUGAAAACAUGAGACAAAUUCAUAUUGAGGAACAUUCUAAAACAUAACUGACCAGUACUCUGUCAAGAACAUUAAAGACAAGAAAAACAUGAGGGGCUGCCACAGAUUACGUGGAGAAGAAUGAGGAAGCAGUGUGGGAUCCUUGAUUCGAUCCUGGAGCAGGAAUUGAUGGAAUUGGAAUAAGGUCUGUAUUUGUUAGA